CGAGAGUUCUGUCUCGCAAGAGAAAGACUUCCAACCGGGCGAAAAAAGACCACGGACAUCCCUGUUCUCGAUCACAACUCAUCGAGUUGGCUUAACGGCGGACCGUGACGAAGUCGAACAAGCGGAAAAGUCAAUAAAAUAAAGUAAAAUCAGAUGAAACGAAAGGUAGAAAAUUAAUAAUCGGGGGAAGUUGAUGCAACUCGUUCGCGAGCAAGCGGUGCUCGAGGAAACGUGAAAUCGAAAAGCCACCUUCGUACAGACAACCGACAAACAAGGGAGAGCGGAGCAGAGUGGAUAGAUAGAUAGGUAUACAGCGUACCGUACGCGAACCUUCAUGCAAUUAGAUCUUUCAGCGGCGUGUAAAAAAUUAUGAAUUCAAACAGCGUUGUGAGCAGGCAAGGUUACACACGGUCGUACACAUGGAGCACGCUCUGAUUCUGAAAGGUUGAAGCAGAAUAACCGGGGGGUGGGCGGAGGAGGAGGGUGGAGGGUGGAAUACAUAACGUACGCAGAGAGAUACCGCGCGGACCCCCGGUGGACGAAACGAAGGACGAGUCGGACGGACCGAAGGGACCUUACGAAUGUAACGCAACGGAGUCAGGAUAUAAAACCGAUCGGUGUACAUCGCACGGGCAAGUACACGACACGUGCAACGCGCUGCCACCGACGCCGCAUCGUCAUCCCCCGUAUGUACGUAUACAAUACGUAUGUGGUCGUGUGCGCGUACACGCACACGCGUGUAUUAUAUUCAUCCCGUCGAAACUAAGCGAGGGGUUCUCGAGCCCGGAGUAGUGUGCCCGGCAUUUGUUUAAUUGGGAACCAACAUGGCCGAUGGGAAACUGCCCUUCGCGCGGACCGCUCGCGAACCAUGCAUCACGCGCGUAGGUGCCUGGGGAGGAGACUGACCGCGGUCAAGGGCUCUUUUUAAUUCACUUCCAAACGGAAUUCGUCGGGCGCCAAAAAAACUCGCCGAAGAAAUCGAUAACCCAGCAUAUUUCGUACGUUUGCGGGUCAAGCGUGAACCGCGCGAUUCGCGUGCCAGGUGCUCGAUAAUAAUGUUACGUACGGUGUGGUUUCGGCUAUUCUCGCUGGAAACGCGAUAAAGUUUCAUGUUUGUAUUCUUGGCCGUCGAAUGAGAAGCGCAGCGGGUUAGAUGUACUCCUGAAAAUCAUACAUGCGCGGCUCACGAAAACGGGCGAAACGGCAAACAUUGCAUUAAGUAGGCAGAUAUACCGUACGGAAAAUCACCCUAACUCCAACCUGUACUCACCUAUGCGCGUUACGGCUGGUUCCUCGUACUUUUGCAUACACGCGUGGCUGUCUUAUACGUACGCGGAAUAUACGUAGCCGUGUACGCUUCACUUGGUACGUUCGCUCCGUUCGCAUCGUGGGGCAAUCCCAACAGAUUUAACAACCUCAAGUAUAAGUUCCACCCCCUCGGUCCGCAAACACGACUCCCCGGAAGGCUGAUAUGAUAAUUUACUAAAAUGUAAAUAUUAUACUCGUGUACCCCGUAUGAAUAUUCAAUUAGCGUGAAUAGGUGCCGCGAAGGAAACAAGUAUACCGUCGAAAGAAGGAAGAAAAAAGAGAGGAAAAAAAAAACGAUAGAAAUCGAGCGAUUCGGAUCCGAAGUGUACGCGAAUGUUGAUCGAUUAAUUCCGAGCGACCGUGCGCGCACGUGUACACGAGUUUCAUUCGGAUUCGAUAGUAUAAAAGGCGAAUGAGAGUGAAGAGAGAAAAAAAUAAAAAAAAAAAAACAACGAACAAACAAGUAAAAGAAAAGUGGACGGGACUGUUUGAAGAGGAAUCCCUCAUCGGGCUUACCGCCUAUGACCUCUGACCUCGUGUGCCACACCGGCUAUUACUAUUCGGGUAUUCAUACGAAUUUCCAUUGACCAGUUCGCGAGUGUAUUCUAAAAGAGGAUGCUGCGAGAGGCUCAAAAGGGCAACCCAUCAACCAUCAAGGGAUUGGUAGUAUCCAGCGGUAAGGGGAUCCUGCGGUACCCAAAAAUUUUAACCAAAGCCUGUUUUAAUCCUUCGACAUCUGCAGCUGGGCUGCCUACCCUUCCACCGCUAUUAUUCGACUGCGCGUGAUCCAGAAAAUCAAAAGAAAUAUCCUCCGACGAUGCGAUGUACGUAGGCAGAAGGUACGUACGUACGUACGUGUACCUUUAUCCUGCUCGGCUGCUCCGUCGUAGUCCCGACGAAUAAAAGUCGUCUCGGUACCCACGGUAUACCGAAACACCUGCACCGCGAAGCAAAGACAAAUAAGAUCAUCGCCGUUCAUUUUUCGAGGGUCCUUUGCCGCCGGGUAACAAAACUCGAGUGGUUCGGAUUUUACAAAAAAUCAUCAUUACUCGUGCUUUUCAGAGUUUCGGACCCCAUCUUCGCGCAACUCGAGUGCCCACCUCGCGUGCGCCGCCACCGCUGCGGUAGAGGGCUCGAGGAAAAUCGAGAAGAAAAAGGCGGUGAUAAAAAUAAAAAAAGGAGACCCGGAAAAUUUAUUCGGGACAAUUUCGUCCUUGAAUGUGAAAUUCUUUCCCUCGACUUCCGCGCGAGGAGUACCUUAUUAGCGGCAACUACUCGGCGGUGCCGGUUUUCUUUCUUCUAUUCUUUUUUUUUUUCCUUCGGCGCAUGGCUCUCUCGUAUACCGGAAAUCAACGGUACGUUACGCGAGUGCCCUUAUUUCCUAACGAUUCGGUUUUUCACCGAUUGUACGUACGUACCCCCCCCCCCCCCCCCCCCCGCCGAUCGCGUCACAAGUCGAUCGGAAAAACUAUUCAACUGUUUAGAGAGGAGUUUAUUGUGCUGGGUUAAUACGACGUGAACUCGGCAGCCCACUCGAUGAUACACGCCUGAAUUCAAAAUGUAACAAGGCGCGGAUAUGAAAAGCGUGACAAUCAGAUCCGGUAAAAUCAAUUGUGAAAACCCCUCGUAAGCGAUGCGAAGACGGAGCAAAAAAUGUCAUUAAACAAAAAAAAAAAAAAAAAUAAGAACAGAAGGCGAGAAACUAUUUUCCCGAAGGAACGGAGUCUCCGUUGGUUCGUCGGACCUAGCGAAUGCGACGCGAGUGAAUCGAGACGCACGUGUAUUAUUUCAUAAAUUAUCACAAUGGAAAGUAGGAACAAAGUCGUGAUCGGAAAAUGAUGCUGCAUCUGCUUUGCCUCAGGCUCUGGAUUAGGGAUACAAUAAUAACACAUCAUCAUUCGGACCAACGUCGAACCCUCGAGCUAUCCGGGCCGCACGUGCUGUAGCCGAGUCGGUACAGAGGUAUAUUACGUACGUAAUACACGAAGAUCGCGGGGUCAGAAAAUAUCGCGAACAAACUUUGAACGCUACACGCGAUUAUUAUUCAUGCGUUAAUCCCUGUUGGUCAGCGGGCGAGUGCGGCGCCGGCAUGUUUCGAAUGAGUGGGCGAUUUUUUAUUCGUGAAAUUGAUCGGUCCCCGAAAGACGGAGAACCGGGCUCGACGUGUCAUAUGGUAUCUUUGGGGGCGGGGUGCGGGGGCGGGGGCGGGGGUUUACGCGACGUUGUAUAUUAAGAGUUUUGUUGCGUUUACCCGUAGAUUAUACACAAAGGAGUUUUCGCCGAGGAAUAGAGAGGAGUAUAUGCGUAGUGUAAGCCGGGCAUUGUCUAGUCGCGCGAUACCCGAAUGGGGAUUAUCCGUGCAUUCACAGGAGGCAUGCCCGCCGGGACGAGAUAACACCGAAAACCCGGAGAGCUCAAAGGGUUAUGAGCUCCCAUCGUGACGCUUUUCAAAAGAACGAAAAACAAACAAGAAAAAUUAAAUUCUGAAUUGCCACUCUCGUUGCCCGCGACGUUGCACGCGGCUUCGUUCCAGAAAUCAUCUCGUUAACCAUCGUUACGUCGCCACGAGCAGCGAUCGUGAAAAAUAUUCUUCUUCUCCCGAACGAAAAAACUAGAUCGCUGCGAUUCAAACUUGAUAUGCCGAGCGCCUUGUUUCGUUUCGUUUAUUUUUUUUUUUUAUGUUUUUUAAUCAAAGACACAGAUCCAUUUUGGCAGCGACGGAUGACUGGCCGUCCGUCAUCCUUUCACUCCAGGAGAUCAGGGUGCAUAAAAUCUGGGUCUCUGAGAUAUUUCGGAACGUGGGUCCUGUGCCUACCGAUUGCCGCGUUUGCGUUUUGUCUCCUUUGUUUAUCCAUGUUUUUUUUUUUUUUCUUUCAGCUCGUCGAAAGUAUAGGGGACGACCUUUUAGGACCGCAGACGUCAGGAUAGCAAUGACAGGCACCCUUUACCCGCCACCAUUUAUCCCUCAGGAGUCGCGAGCCCGUAGCUCCGGCCGAACAACCCAUUUAAGCGAGGUAGGUCUGCACACGAGAAUAAUAACAAUUUUCCAAUUAGGUAUCACACAUAUGCGUACUCGUCGUUGGAGUGGAACGAGCGGAAGGUACGACGGAGAGAAGAGCAGGACCGGUAGGACCAUGCAAAUCGUCUUUUACCCCCGUCUGCACCGUCCACAAUGUGGUCACCCAAGCGGCAUCGCACCUUAUCCAUUGUGUUCCAAAUUGCUAGCGAUUGUUGCAUUUUAACUGUUCGAAAGUUCGACACAAUGGGAAUAAAGCUCGCGUUACCCGGACCAGUUGACACCGCUGAGACCAACAACCCGGUUCCUGUCGCCGGCGUGUAAACCGUGUAAAUACCGAAACUGUUUUCCUACCACGGUCCAUCGGAAGCACCUUGACAUAUCGCUGCAUUCGUAGGUAGUAGACGUUCGCCCAGCUGCGGGAUCGGGAUGUGCCCGGCGUACGGAUAAUGUUUAUCGAGGCAAUAUCAACGUUUUAAUAAAUCACGUCCUCUCGUAAUCGAGUUAGAAAUAUAACGCCCGAUGGAAUCGUCGAAAGAAUCGCGCUCGCCGACUGUGUUUCCCGAGGACCGAAGGGGUUCGCUAAGUCGUCUGGAGGCGCCGAAUAUGAUCAACGCUUCGAGGACUGCGACGUACUUUGGAUCGCACCUUUUCGAGGGUAACAAAAUUUGGUAUUCUCACUUAUGACGGGUACGCAUACUUUCGUACAUAUUUCUGUUUCAACCGCGCCUCUCUACUCCCCCACCCUGUCAUACGAGGAUUUCAUUAUUUCGGUCGAACGGUGCACAACCCCCUUGACUGACCCUCUUAAAUUUAAUUCCCUGUUUCACUCGCACGUCAGUUAUUUAAUAUAAGGACGUUAGUAUGACGGACAGCCGGGUGCAGGUCCUUUAAAAAUGAUUAACCUACGCACGGUGGUGGUAGACGGAGAUGAAAAAUGAACCCUUUUUCCGAACAAAGGCGACGUUUAAUAUCGCGCGGGAUCAUCGCGCACCUAUCGCAUUUAUAGUAUAACGACGUCGUCUCUGUUAUAAAGAAGAACUUUUAAACGGUCGUACGUGCACUAGGUUCGGUCGCCGCGAACGAUUUACUAAAAAUUUUCAUAUCUUUCUUUCGUCGUUCGACGCGUUAGUACGUACGCGUCGAGUCGGAAGAUUGGAUCAGUGAAAUAAUGGAAUUGACAAUAUCACGAACGUCUCUACUGCACGGUAUAUUAAUUAUUACGGAGGGGAGGGAGGGAAUAAUCUGGAACGAAACGUUUGCUUAGCUACCGUUGUAACGGGGACAAUAAGACAAUAUCGCACUGGCUGCUUCGAGCAAAUACCAAAGUUCGGCUAAAUCCCGUCGUUAUUCAAAUAUCAAUCAACCGUCUGCGUUGACGUUGUCUUGUAUUCUCAGACGUGUUACACGCGAACAGCUCGGUCCCACGCACCGGAGACUGUAUAGCUCGUCUCAUUUCGCAUUAAUAAUUACACACGCACCGACAUUCGAUUGGGAAUAAAGAGAGAUAAGAGAAUGAGAAUUUUCGGCUCGUCUCACUGCUCGGGCAAAGAACUUUUUUUUUUAUAUAUACGUUAACCCCUUCGGUCUUCGCUGCGGCAAAAGCCACCCGCCAUCACGGUUCUCGGUUAGCUUGACUUUGGACAGGACGGUGACACGUCGAGUUGACACGCGAUUUGUCAUGCUAACGACCUCCUAUUAAUAAUCGCGAAUGCAUAUAUAGGCAUUUAUAUUACGGGGUAGCCGUUACAACGGUGGAAAUAUUCUUUUAUUAAAAAACCAGUGUACAGGAUAUUUGUCAAAAGUUUAAUAUCUGCAGCUCACAGUAUCGUUUCCCACUUUGUGUUCUUGUCGUAAGAAACGAAUAUUUGAUUAUUCGAAAUAAAUAAAAUGAGAAAUUCGAGAAACAUUUAGCGACGCACCUCCAAUUUAUCAAGAAGAUAUCGGAUAUUCCGGUAAGCGA
This is a long non-coding RNA of Athalia rosae (coleseed sawfly), 6287 nucleotides long. RefSeq lists it as uncharacterized. The record is from RefSeq and is a predicted model, not a curated record. The transcript has 3 exons. Lineage: Eukaryota; Metazoa; Arthropoda; Insecta; Hymenoptera; Athaliidae.